RNAcentral lists this ribosomal RNA (1608 nucleotides) under human gut metagenome. RNAcentral's name for it is "bacterial LSU rRNA". It matches the Rfam family "Bacterial large subunit ribosomal RNA", at positions 1321 to 2925 of the family's 2925-position model. The record is from RNAcentral.
GUGAAAAGCCCGCUCGCCGUAAGCCCAAGGUUUCCUGCUCUACGUUCAUCGGAGCAGGGUGAGUCGGCCCCUAAGGCGAGGCUGAGAAGCGUAGCUGAUGGGAACAAGGUUAAUAUUCCUUGACCGCCGCCAAGUGCGAAGGGGGGACGGAGUAUUGAAGAUCAUCCGGGUGUUGGAAGUCCCGGUUUCCGAGCGUAGGAAGUCGACAGGCAAAUCCGUCGACGAAUUUCCGAGGCGAAGGAUCGAGGUUCUACGGAACCGAAGUGAUUGGAUGUGCUUCCAGGAAAAGCCUCUAAGCUCCAGCUUGGCGGGACCGUACCGCAAACCGACACUGGUGGGCGAGCUGAAUAUGCUCAGGCGCUUGAGAGAACUCAGGAGAAGGAACUCGGCAAAUUGACACCGUAACUUCGGGAUAAGGUGUGCCUUGGUAGCGUGAAGGGAGAAACACCCGGAGCGUGAAGAGGUCUCAGAGAAUCGGUGGCUGCGACUGUUUACUAAAAACACAGCACUCUGCAAAGACGAAAGUCGACGUAUAGGGUGUGAUGCCUGCCCGGUGCUGGAAGAUUAAUUGAUGGGGUGCAAGCUCCUGAUCGAAGUCCCAGUAAACGGCGGCCGUAACUAUAACGGUCCUAAGGUAGCGAAAUUCCUUGUCGGGUAAGUUCCGACCUGCACGAAUGGCAUAAUGAUGGCCACACUGUCUCCUCCUGAGACUCAGUGAAGUUGAAGUGUUUGUGAUGAUGCAAUCUCCCCGCGGCUAGACGGAAAGACCCCAUGAACCUUUACUGUAGCUUUGCAUUGGACUUUGAACCGAUCUGUGUAGGAUAGGCGGGAGACUGUGAAGCGAGGACGCCAGUUCUCGCGGAGUCGUCCUUGAAAUACCGCCCUGAUUUGUUUGAGGUUCUAACCUAGGUCAGUCAUCCUGAUCGGGGACCGUGCAUGGUAGGCAGUUUGACUGGGGCGGUCUCCUCCUAAAGGGUAACGGAGGAGUGCGAAGGUACGCUAGGUACGGUCGGAAAUCGUGCUGAUAGUGCAAUGGCAAAAGCGUGCUUGACUGCGAGACCGACAAGUCGAGCAGAUACGAAAGUAGGUCAUAGUGAUCCGGUGGCUCUGUAUGGAAGGGCCAUCGCUCAACGGAUAAAAGGUACUCUGGGGAUAACAGGCUGAUACCGCCCAAGAGUUCAUAUCGACGGCGGUGUUUGGCACCUCGAUGUCGGCUCAUCUCAUCCUGGGGCUGUAGCCGGUCCCAAGGGUAUGGCUGUUCGCCAUUUAAAGAGGUACGUGAGCUGGGUUUAAAACGUCGUGAGACAGUUUUGUCCCUAUCUGCCGUGGGCGUUGGAAGAUUGACGGGGGCUGCUCCUAGUACGAGAGGACCGGAGUGGACUGACCUCUGGUGUACCGGUUGUCACGCCAGUGGCAUCGCCGGGUAGCUAUGUCGGGAAGAGAUAACCGCUGAAAGCAUCUAAGCGGGAAACUUGCCUGAAGAUAAGUCUUCCUGGAGGCUUGACCUCCCUGAAGAGUCGUUCGAGACCAGGACGUUGAUAGGUUGGGUGUGUAAGCGCUGUGAGGCGUUGAGCUAACCAAUACUAAUUGCUCGUGCAGCUUGAUCCU